CCAUGCCGCGUGGUGAUGAAGGGCCCUAAGGGUUGUUAAAGCCCUUUCGGCGGGGAAGAUAAUGACGGUACCGCAGAAGAAGCCCCGGCUAACUUCGUGC
RNAcentral lists this ribosomal RNA (100 nucleotides) under uncultured bacterium. Its description in RNAcentral is "partial 16S ribosomal RNA". The record is from RNAcentral.